Molecule: ribosomal RNA, 21 nt
Filed under: Habenaria foliosa
Lineage: Eukaryota; Viridiplantae; Streptophyta; Magnoliopsida; Asparagales; Orchidaceae
Description: partial 26S ribosomal RNA
Source: RNAcentral
GCGACCCCAGGUUGGGCGGGG